CCAAAACCUCUGCGUUCCAGAUAGUGACUACUCUGUCUGCGUGGGUCCUGGAGAGAGGAGGAUGCAGAGCACAGCACUUAGCCAACCUGCAAUGGACACGUAGAAAAACUUCUAAAAUCAUCAGGAGAUAUCACUGAAAAGGUUUCAAAACAAAGCCAUAAUCUCUAGAAAUGUGUCCUUGAUGGGUUGGUCUUCAUUUGCCUGAAGACUGAUCAUUCUAAGGAGGAUUUUGUGCUGCUCUUGUUUUGCUGCUGGGCCUAUCCUGUUUCCAUUCCCAAAUCAAGUAUUCCUGGAAUUUAAGGUAUCACUUUACCAGCCUGACCACAAGUUCCCCAUUGUUUCCUCUGCUCUGCUCAUGCCCUGGAAUAAUGCCUCUCCCUGGAUACUAAAUUUACUGACCCUGCCUAGGACCCAGAGAAGAUUGAUGAGUCCUCAGCCUGUGCAUGUCUUCAAAAAGCCACCAACUGAUAGCUA
RNAcentral lists this long non-coding RNA (474 nucleotides) under Pan troglodytes (chimpanzee). Its description in RNAcentral is "lincRNA". Lineage: Eukaryota; Metazoa; Chordata; Mammalia; Primates; Hominidae. The record is from RNAcentral.